Molecule: unclassified non-coding RNA, 200 nt
Filed under: soil metagenome
Description: partial contains internal transcribed spacer 2 and large subunit ribosomal RNA
Source: RNAcentral
ACACCCCUCAAGCGUAGCUGGUAUUGGAUAUUCGCGGGCCCUUCUAUAAGCUCGCGGGUCCGAAAAACAGUGGCGGUCCCCGAGGAUUUCGCGCGUAGUAAAUAUUAUCCCGCGUUGGAAAGAAUCGGUGGGCUUGCCAAAACCCCCCCAUAAUCUCCAUGAUUGACCUCGGAUCAGGUAGGGAUACCCGCUGAACUUAA